This 253-nucleotide ribosomal RNA is filed under the name uncultured bacterium. RNAcentral's name for it is "partial 16S ribosomal RNA". It matches the Rfam family "Bacterial small subunit ribosomal RNA", at positions 524 to 776 of the family's 1533-position model. The record is from RNAcentral.
UACGUAGGGUGCAAGCGUUGUCCGGAAUUAUUGGGCGUAAAGAGCUCGUAGGCGGCUUGUCGCGUCGGCUGUGAAAACCUGGGGCUCAACCCCGGGCUUGCAGCCGAUACGGGCAAGCUAGAAUUCGGUAGGGGAGACUGGAAUUCCUGGUGUAGCGGUGAAAUGCGCAGAUAUCAGGAGGAACACCGAUGGCGAAGGCAGUGGGCUGGGCCGGCACUGACGCUGAGGAGCGAAAGCGUGGGGAGCGAACAGG